AGCAUUGAAAUUGAUUCAGAGAUUUAAUUGAUUUUUAAAAAUUAUGUGUCCUGUUUUAUUCAAGUCCAAUUUCUUUGUUAUAUUUGUUCCCUUUAAGAACAAAGAAUGGUUUUGGGAACUAUUAAUAGCAUAUUGAUACUAAUUAAUUUAUCUAAGAACACAUACUUUGUACCUUACAGAUGUCAAUUGAAUUAAUAAAUAUGGUUUUAUGUCUAUGGAAGCUUCAGAAUGAUGAGGAAGGCUACUUUGCAAUCAAUGAUAUACGUCUUAACACAACUGCAGGUUUUAUAAGUGGACAUAUAUACUCUAUGCUUACUCAAAUUUGCAUAUGCAUUGUAUAAAAAAGGAGAAAGAUGGCUUUUCAUUUUGACCGGUGAUGAACUGGACUAAUUAUACUACACACCAGUGGCAUGGAAUCUUUAAGUUAAGGUGAAAAGGGUUGCAUUGGUGAGCUUCUUUUGUAUUUCUCUUGCCUUUCAAAGGGCACAAGACUAAGGAUGUAUACUUUUAUAAUGCCUGGUCUACAUGAGAUGGAGUUUCUACUAAUAAACAAUUAGAUGCUUGCAGUGCACACAAGACUGAGAUAGGGCUGAUGAAUAACAUUAUAUGUAAUAACAUUAUAACCUUAGUUCACCAAGUUCAAGGUCCUCAAUGUUUUUCUUUUAAUAUGUUUUAUUUAUUUAUUUAAAUGGAUGUAGUUUA
Quercus robur (English oak) is the source of this 702-nucleotide long non-coding RNA. RefSeq lists it as uncharacterized. The record is from RefSeq and is a predicted model, not a curated record. Lineage: Eukaryota; Viridiplantae; Streptophyta; Magnoliopsida; Fagales; Fagaceae. The transcript is spliced from 4 exons.